GGAUCUUUAGCUCAAAUGGUAGAGCACUUGAGAGUAUGAAUCUCAACGAUGGUGGUUCAAAUCCACCAGGAUCCU
This 75-nucleotide transfer RNA is filed under the name Thalictrum thalictroides. RNAcentral's name for it is "tRNA-His". It matches the Rfam family "tRNA". Rfam says of the family: Transfer RNA (tRNA) molecules are approximately 80 nucleotides in length. Their secondary structure includes four short double-helical elements and three loops (D, anti-codon, and T loops). Lineage: Eukaryota; Viridiplantae; Streptophyta; Magnoliopsida; Ranunculales; Ranunculaceae. The record is from RNAcentral.